This 234-nucleotide unclassified non-coding RNA is filed under the name Hevea brasiliensis (rubber tree). Lineage: Eukaryota; Viridiplantae; Streptophyta; Magnoliopsida; Malpighiales; Euphorbiaceae. The record is from RNAcentral.
GGAAUAUACUGCAACAUCAAGUAUAAGAAGUGCAGUUUCUUUAGGUAGAACAUUCUCAGUGCCUUCUCCCUUCUGCUUAUUGUGUCAACACAAGGUACCAGUUUUUGGAAAACCUCCCAGACAAUUUUCUUAUGAGGAGCUAGAGGAAGCCACAGAAGGAUUCUCAGAUAUGAAUUUCUUAGCAGAAGGAGGCUUUGGCAAUGUUUACAGAGGGAUAUUAAGGGAUGGCCAGGU